This 155-nucleotide small nuclear RNA is filed under the name Moschus moschiferus (Siberian musk deer). Its description in RNAcentral is "U2 spliceosomal RNA (ENSMMSG00000018816.1)". It matches the Rfam family "U2 spliceosomal RNA". Rfam says of the family: U2 is a small nuclear RNA (snRNA) component of the spliceosome (involved in pre-mRNA splicing). Complementary binding between U2 snRNA (in an area lying towards the 5' end but 3' to hairpin I) and the branchpoint sequence (BPS) of the intron results the bulging out of an unpaired adenosine, on the BPS, which initiates a nucleophilic attack at the intronic 5' splice site, thus starting the first of two transesterification reactions that mediate splicing. Lineage: Eukaryota; Metazoa; Chordata; Mammalia; Artiodactyla; Moschidae. The record is from Rfam by way of RNAcentral.
GUGUCUUCUCGGCCUUUUGGCUAAGAUCAAGUGUAGUAUGUGUAUCGUUCUAACUAUGUAUAUAGUUCUCCAAUCCAUGAACACAGUAUGUGUCUCCAUUUAUUUAGGUGUAUGUUACUUUUAAUCAGCACUUUGUAGUUUUUAACAUUUCUUUC